This is a long non-coding RNA of Cavia porcellus (domestic guinea pig), 759 nucleotides long. RefSeq lists it as uncharacterized. NCBI's taxonomy places the organism in Eukaryota, Metazoa, Chordata, Mammalia, Rodentia, Caviidae. The record is from RefSeq and is a predicted model, not a curated record. The transcript is spliced from 3 exons.
GAUGGUUAACUGGCAAACCACUUUCAAAAGGAGCCACCCAGCCGAGCAUGCUGGUACAGCCUUGUGAUCCCAGCACUCGGGAGGCCGAGGCAACAGCACUGGUGCAAGUUCAAGGCCAGUCUGGGCUACAGAGUGACCUGAAGGCCAACCUGAAUUACAUGAAACACGACAUAUAAAUAAAGUACGAUAUAACAGAUAAUGGGAAAAAAAAAGAAAAAAAGUUCUUGUAAUCCAGUAUGGACUAUGUAUCUGAAGUGAGGAAAGCAAAACAGUGACAUGGACACCUGAACAAUGGGUGUGGCAGUGUCACCACCACCCGGAGCCUCCCCAGCGCAGACGGAGUGCAGGGCCUCACAUACACUGCAAAGAAACACGGCUUCCGGAGACGGCCCAGCUACCGGCUCAGGGACGGCAGGCGUGGGUCCUCGCCUUCGGCCUGCCACUCGGACUCCUUUCAAUGCAGCCACCAGGCAGCUUCCCUUUAGGGAUUCUGGAAAAUGCGCAGCUAGGGACAAGCAGCCUCGCAGGCGGCCAGACCUAGGAGUGCUUCGUGACCCAGCGGCAGGUGUCAUGAAAAUCGUGCCUACGUCCCCACCCACCUCUCUCCUCCUUCUGAGUAACGAGGGGCCUUUCUGACUCCCAGCCAGGCAAUUCUGCUCCAAAUUACACGAUUUUAUGCUGCUUGCUGAAAUUAUAUACGGUCUUGUGCUACUUGCUAAUUGUUUCGUAUGUACAAUUGCCUUUUUUUCUUCAAAUAAA